CCUGGAAGCUGAAAGAUGUCUAAUGCAGGCAGAUGAGAUGUCUUUUGUCUGUACUUCAAGGCUUCCUAGAGUAAAAUGAAGGUCUCUGUCUGGUUUAGAGCAGCCAACUGAACUGGAUCGUUCCCCUUUGCACAUA
RNAcentral lists this small nucleolar RNA (136 nucleotides) under Salvator merianae (Argentine black and white tegu). RNAcentral describes it as "Small Cajal body specific RNA 3 (ENSSMRG00000007394.1)". It matches the Rfam family "Small Cajal body specific RNA 3". Rfam says of the family: scaRNAs are a specific class of small nuclear RNAs which localise to the Cajal bodies and guide the modification of RNA polymerase II transcribed spliceosomal RNAs U1, U2, U4, U5 and U12. The record is from Rfam by way of RNAcentral. Lineage: Eukaryota; Metazoa; Chordata; Lepidosauria; Squamata; Teiidae.